AGAUUGUAGUUUUUGUUUUGGCCGGAAAGGCUUACCAUGAAUUGCCAGGGCUGAGAGAGAUGGAGAAGGAUUCGCGGCGGUGACAGAUUAAAUUCCACAGUUACAUUAUAGACUUGGAAGUGGGGGAUCUUCUCAUCGUUAGAGGCCCCGAUCAUGGGAGAUAGGCGGUUCGGAGCCAGUCCUGCCUAACUUUGUGUUCACUGAUGUUAGGGCUGCUAGGGCUGCAAAGGUGGGCACCCCUACUCGUCUAAGAGCUUUCUCCUCUCUUCUCUUUUUCCCCUUUGCCUCUCUCCUUACAUCACCUGCCCACUAAGUAGACUUGUCCUUGUGUGAACGGGAGCCGGAAAGCCUUGAGAACUUAUUCCUCGACCCGGACAUGGCACAUGAGAAAAUGAAACUAGGUUUCAAGUCGCUGCCGAGUUCCACUACCGCAGACGGCAACAUUCUGAGAAGAGUCAACAGUGCCCCUUUGAUCAAUGGACUUGGAUCUUACUUCUUAAACUAGACUUUUAAAAUGAAAUGUUGGAUUUCACAUUUCAGUAUUAUAAGGUUUUCUAGAUACCGUAAAAAUGUCUGAAAAAUGCAUUCACUACAUAUGUUACUAACUUUGCUCUUCACCUUUUGUGGCAUCAUACUAAUUGAUAGUUGUAAUUCACAGUACCAUAGACUAUCAGGAAGGGAUUCAGAGACCAGCUUUACCCUCCUUGUUUAACAUAUGAGGAAACUGAGGCCCAUAAAUCUCCAAAAUGACGUUUAGUGGCAGAGCCAGUACUAGGAACCUCUGUUUCCUGACUCCUAAACUACUGUUCUGGCCACUACUAACCAAUACCUAAGCUGAUUAACUCUAAAUGAAUGCAGCUUUUGGGUCAUUUGAGGUAGGAGAGAAUAUAUUGUUCACAAAAUGAAAAGCAAACUAAGAUUGACCAAAAAAAAUACAUUACCUUUUUAAAAUAGGCAGGUAGAAAAACAUAGAAGGGGGACUCUGCAUGUUGUGCUGAGAACAAGAACAUUUUAUUCACUCAGGAUUUUGCUCUAAUCCUGUUGUGGGAAAAAGGAAUUAUGGGACCCACUCUACUAGUAGAAGAGAGCAGUAGGGAGAAUGUUGGAUUUAUUGAAGAUGAUAUAAAAAGAAGAAAUAGGUUGCAAAUAGACGAUGGAAGAUGUGUACUGGAAGGAACCUGUGGAUCCUCUUUAAUGUAUUAAAUACACCAGAGAAGGAGUGGACCCUUCCCUAAUCCUUAAAGCCCUGGAAACAGAGAGAUCUCAGUUAUCCCUUCAUACCUUGCUUUGUUCUGCAAAGGAUUUUUUUGUUUUGUUUGUUUGUUUUUUGCUUUUAUCAUAUUAGAGCAUAGCUACAGUGUUAAAUUCCAUAGCUUAAGAUCCUGAUGCAUGAAGUAAAAUUUGUACAGAAAGAUAAGGGUCACUAGCAUAUUUCUGUAGUAGGAGUUUAAAGAUACAGAAACCACAAAGUGGACGGAGUCCAGGGACUCUAGUCUGUCAGAAAGAAGUAACAUAGGAAUGAUGUGUGACAUCCCUGAGAUUAGGGGACUUGCCCAGAUGAUCUGAGGGCAUAUUUUGUGCUGUUGUAGAAAAUGUAGGGCAUAGUCAGAGAAGUUAUUCUGAAGCAAGAAAAAUUUAGAGUAGGAUUACACUGAGCCUUAGUUGAAUUCAUUUUCACCUCAGUUCUCAUUUGCAUAUGUAUACUGCUCACUUUUCUCCCUUUUUUUUCCUUCCUUGGCCCUCUAAUACUUGAGUACUUCCUCUUUCUAAACUAUACCUGGCCAGUAAAGCAUUCUUUUCAGAAAGGUGAAAGUCACUAGCAUAUUUCUUUAGUAGGAAUUAAAGAUAUAGAAACCACAAAGUGGACAGAGUUCAGAGACUCCAGUCCAUCAGAAAGAAGUAACAUAGGAAUGAUGUGUGACAUGCCUGAGGUCAGGGAACUUGCCCAAAUGAUCUGAGGGGAUGUUUUGUGCUGUUGUAGAAAAUAUUUAGCUUGCUAAACAUUGUUGCACCUCUUUCAAGUAAUUUUCGAACUUUGCUUGAUGUUUCUUCUAUAUAAAGACCCUCUUGCACCAACAUUUGCAGAAUUAAAUUCCUUAGAUUUGUUUCUUUCAUAUCAACUCUUUAAUACAGUAUUACUGUUUUAAAGAAGUAUCUGCACUGUUUUAUGUAUAUCUUGAACUAAUAGAAAUUCCAACGUCAAAA
Molecule: small RNA, 2205 nt
Filed under: Pan troglodytes (chimpanzee)
Lineage: Eukaryota; Metazoa; Chordata; Mammalia; Primates; Hominidae
Description: processed transcript
Source: RNAcentral